CCUACGGGCGGCAGCAGUGAGGAAUAUUGGUCAAUGGGCGCGAGCCUGAACCAGCCAAGUCGCGUGAGGGAGGACGGCCCUACGGGUUGUAAACCUCUUUUGCCGGGGAGCAACGGGCGUCACGUGUGGCGCCACUGAGAGUACCCGGAGAAAAAGCAUCGGCUAACUCCGUGCCAGCAGCCGCGGUAAUACGGAGGAUGCGAGCGUUAUCCGGAUUUAUUGGGUUUAAAGGGUGCGUAGGCGGAUCGUUAAGUCAGUGGUCAAAUUGAGGGGCUCAACCCCUUCCCGCCAUUGAAACUGGCUGUCUUGAGAUGUCGAGAGGUAUGCGGAAUGCGCAGUGUAGCGGUGAAAUGCUUAGAUAUUGCGCAGAACUCCGAUUGCGAAGGCAGCAUACCGGCGGCGAUCUGACGCUGAGGCACGAAAGCGUGGGUAUCGAACAGGAUUAGAUACCCUUGUAGUC
This 460-nucleotide ribosomal RNA is filed under the name uncultured bacterium. RNAcentral describes it as "partial 16S ribosomal RNA". It matches the Rfam family "Bacterial small subunit ribosomal RNA", at positions 338 to 795 of the family's 1533-position model. The record is from RNAcentral.